This 253-nucleotide ribosomal RNA is filed under the name uncultured bacterium. Its description in RNAcentral is "partial 16S ribosomal RNA". It matches the Rfam family "Bacterial small subunit ribosomal RNA", at positions 524 to 776 of the family's 1533-position model. The record is from RNAcentral.
UACGGGGGGGGCAAGCGUUGUUCGGAAUUACUGGGCGUAAAGGGCUCGUAGGUGGCCAACUAAGUCAGACGUGAAAUCCCUCAGCUUAACUGGGGAACUGCGUCUGAUACUGGAUGGCUUGAGUUUGGGAGAGGGAUGCGGAAUUCCAGGUGUAGCGGUGAAAUGCGUAGAUAUUCGGAAGAACACCAGUGGCGAAGGCGACUUACUGGACACAUAUUGACGCUGAGGUGCGAAAGCGUGGGGAGCAAACAGG